GGACGAACGCUGGCGGCGUGCUUAACACAUGCAAGUGGAGCGACGAACCGGGGCUUGCCCCGGGGCAGAGCCGCGAACGGGUGAGUAACACGUGGGUAACCUGCCUCAAUGAUUGGGACAACCCGGGGAAACUCGGGCUAAUACCAAAUGUGUUCACUCCUUUUAAGGGGAGUGAGGAAAGGAAGCUUCGGCCUCCGCAUUGAGAUGGGCCCGCGGCCCAUUAGCUUGUUGGUGAGGUAACGGCUCACCAAGGCUUCGAUGGGUAGCUGGUCUGAGAGGACGAUCAGCCACACUGGGACUGAGACACGGCCCAGACUCCUACGGGAGGCAGCAGUGGGGAAUCUUGCACAAUGCGCGAAAGCGUGAUGCAGCGACGCCGCGUGGGGGAAGACGGCCUUCGGGUUGUAAACCCCUUUCAGUUGGGACGAAGCUUCGCCGGUGAAUAGCCGGUUGGAGUGACGGUACCUUCAGAAGAAGCCCCGGCUAACUACGUG
Molecule: ribosomal RNA, 494 nt
Filed under: uncultured bacterium
Lineage: Bacteria
Description: bacterial SSU rRNA
Rfam family: Bacterial small subunit ribosomal RNA
Source: RNAcentral